GCAAGUCGAGCGAGAAAGCACUUCGGUGCGAGUACAGCGGCGGACGGGUGAGUAACGCGUAGGAAUCUACCUGGCAGUGGGGGACAACAGUCGGAAACGGCUGCUAAUACCGCAUACGCCCUAUGGGGGAAAGUGGGGGACCUUCGGGCCUCACGCUAUCGGAUGAGCCUGCGUAGGAUUAGCUAGUUGGUGAGGUAAAGGCUCACCAAGGCGACGAUCCUUAGCUGGUCUGAGAGGAUGAUC
This 243-nucleotide ribosomal RNA is filed under the name uncultured bacterium. RNAcentral describes it as "partial 16S ribosomal RNA". It matches the Rfam family "Bacterial small subunit ribosomal RNA", at positions 57 to 305 of the family's 1533-position model. The record is from RNAcentral.